RNAcentral lists this ribosomal RNA (501 nucleotides) under uncultured bacterium. RNAcentral describes it as "partial 16S ribosomal RNA". It matches the Rfam family "Bacterial small subunit ribosomal RNA", at positions 30 to 523 of the family's 1533-position model. The record is from RNAcentral.
AUUGAACGCUGGCGGCAGGCUUAACACAUGCAAGUCGAGCGGGGGAAGGUAGCUUGCUACCGGACCUAGCGGCGGACGGGUGAGUAAUGCUUAGGAAUCUGCCUAUUAGUGGGGGACAACAUCUCGAAAGGGAUGCUAAUACCGCAUACGUCCUACGGGAGAAAGCAGGGGAUCUUCGGACCAUGCGCUAAUAGAUGAGCCUAAGUCGGAUUAGCUAGUUGGUGGGGUAAAGGCCUACCAAGGCGACGAUCUGUAGCGGGUCUGAGAGGAUGAUCCGCCACACUGGGACUGAGACACGGCCCAGACUCCUACGGGAGGCAGCAGUGGGGAAUAUUGGACAAUGGGGGGAACCCUGAUCCAGCCAUGCCGCGUGUGUGAAGAAGGCCUUAUGGUUGUAAAGCACUUUAAGCGAGGAGGAGGCUUACCUAGUUAAUACCUGGGAUAAGUGGACGUUACUCGCAGAACAAGCACCGGCUAACUCUGUGCCAGCCGCCGCAGUAA